CCGCACGUAAACCCCGGAAGAAGAGAAGAAGAUUCACUCGCUUCAGAAUAAAGGAAUGCCGUACAUCCCCUCCCUCUCUCUCUCUCUCUGUAUUUCUCUCGCUUUGAAGCUUCUCCGUCCAACCCACCUUCCUGCAACAUUCCCCCAUCUCUCUCGGUCGAAUGAUCUUCGCGUCGUGGCGUCUCGUUCUCUGGUGAGUCUGUCUCUAUCCCCUCCGCCGUGUGCGGAGGUUUAACGUACUGUCGACAGGUGUUAGAGGAAGCCUCCAUUCGUGGGUUGUCUUUCGAGAGAAUUUUCGGGGACAUGGAACGUGCGAUGGAUUCGGAUGGAUUCGAAUUUUGUACCCAUCUCCGUUGCGCAUCUACGCGCCUCUGACCAGGGAAGGAAUUGAAAAAUUUCGACGUUGUCUUUGUUUGAUCGUGUUGGUGAUUUCUUGGGAAUUUUUUUGGUGUUGGGUUUGAAAUGAAUGUAAGGCUGGGUAGAAUUGGGAGUUCUAUGUUGGGUUUGAAGUGAAUUUAAGACCCGGGUCGGCUCGAAUUAUGCCCACUUCUUCUGUGUAUUUCUUCACCGGAAUUCUUGCCCACCGAUCCCAUAUCGGGUUCGAAACUGUAUUUGAGCAUUCUAAUAGGAAGGCGGAGGUGUUAGGUUCUCCUACGGCUCCUAACAUUUCGAGCAAAUGAUUUCCUAGUGGGUUAAAGUCAGCAGUAAUUUUUCCUUCUGCUCCAAAUGACUAUAAGCAUUCAGCUUUGUCUUAUGGUAAUGUCUAAUGCGGUUAGUCGUUCCUAUAUCUUCAGCUGAGCAGUUUUCGACAGUUGUUAUACGGGGAAGAGUCCUAAAAUGUCAGUUGAAAAUUUCUUUAGUAUUUCCUCGAAGUAUAUGCCAGUAUAAUUUUAGGAUUUUUUGUGGCUUAUGCUUUGUACUUGGGGUUUAGUUUUGCCAUUUCAUACGUAUGAUUCGGAGAGAGACUUGAGUCCUGCCACUGUUUGUAGUCUUAUUCCAAUGUAAGAAUUGAAAUUAGAACAAACUGCAAAUACAAUCUCCCAUAACGUAAUAUAGAUGAAGGGACUUCAU
This 1071-nucleotide long non-coding RNA is filed under the name Eucalyptus grandis. RNAcentral's name for it is "long non-coding RNA (EGRA_LNC003123)". Lineage: Eukaryota; Viridiplantae; Streptophyta; Magnoliopsida; Myrtales; Myrtaceae. The record is from RNAcentral.